RNAcentral lists this ribosomal RNA (253 nucleotides) under uncultured bacterium. RNAcentral's name for it is "partial 16S ribosomal RNA". It matches the Rfam family "Bacterial small subunit ribosomal RNA", at positions 524 to 776 of the family's 1533-position model. The record is from RNAcentral.
UACGGGGGGGGCGAGCGUUGUUCGGAAUUACUGGGCGUAAAGGGCGCGUAGGCGGGCGGGUAAGUCCCUCGUGAAAGCCCACGGCUCAACCGUGGAAUUGCGGGAGAUACUACUUGUCUUGAGUCCGGGAGAGGAGUGUGGAAUUCCCAGUGUAGCGGUGAAAUGCGUAGAUAUUGGGAGGAACACCGGUGGCGAAGGCGGCACUCUGGACCGGAACUGACGCUGAGGCGCGAAAGCUAGGGGAGCAAACGGG